CUCGCAUUUCGUCUUCCCGCUCUCUAUGACGUUCGCCAAUAUGCAGAUUAUCAGGACCUCCUCUUGCCAGAUCAUCCUCCAGAAGUCCAGCACCGUGUUGGGCUUCGGCCCCUGUGUGGCGAUAAACUCAUCCGCUGCGGUACCCUUAUGUAGUUGGCGUUAAUGUAGUCGGAGUAGGGGUCGUCGGGGAGCUUCUUCAGGAUGACCCGCGUCUCGUCGUCUGCAAAUAUUGAAGAAAAAAAAAUUGUUAAGACUC
Molecule: long non-coding RNA, 256 nt
Organism: Orussus abietinus
Lineage: Eukaryota; Metazoa; Arthropoda; Insecta; Hymenoptera; Orussidae
Exons: 2
Source: RefSeq, a predicted model, not a curated record